This 850-nucleotide ribosomal RNA is filed under the name uncultured bacterium. RNAcentral's name for it is "bacterial SSU rRNA". It matches the Rfam family "Bacterial small subunit ribosomal RNA", at positions 59 to 869 of the family's 1533-position model. The record is from RNAcentral.
CAGUCGAGCGAGCUUGCCUAGAUGAUUUUAGUGCUUGCACUAAAUGAAACUAGAUACAAGCGAGCGGCGGACGGGUGAGUAACACGUGGGUAACCUGCCCAAGAGACUGGGAUAACACCUGGAAACAGAUGCUAAUACCGGAUAACAACACUAGACGCAUGUCUAGAGUUUGAAAGAUGGUUCUGCUAUCACUCUUGGAUGGACCUGCGGUGCAUUAGCUAGUUGGUAAGGUAACGGCUUACCAAGGCAAUGAUGCAUAGCCGAGUUGAGAGACUGAUCGGCCACAUUGGGACUGAGACACGGCCCAAACUCCUACGGGAGGCAGCAGUAGGGAAUCUUCCACAAUGGACGAAAGUCUGAUGGAGCAACGCCGCGUGAGUGAAGAAGGGUUUCGGCUCGUAAAGCUCUGUUGGUAGUGAAGAAAGAUAGAGGUAGUAACUGGCCUUUAUUUGACGGUAAUUACUUAGAAAGUCACGGCUAACUACGUGCCAGCAGCCGCGGUAAUACGUAGGUGGCAAGCGUUGUCCGGAUUUAUUGGGCGUAAAGCGAGUGCAGGCGGUUCAAUAAGUCUGAUGUGAAAGCCCGUGGCUCAACCGCGGAACUGCUUUGGAAACUGUAUAGCUUGAGUACUGGAGAGGCAGGCGGAAUUCCUAGUGUAGCGGUGAAAUGCGUAGAUAUUAGGAGGAACACCAGUGGCGAAGGCGGCCUGCUGGACAGAAACUGACGUUGAGGCUCGAAAGCGUGGGGAGCAAACAGGAUUAGAUACCCUGGUAGUCCACGCGGUAAACGAUGAAUGCUAGGUGUUGGGGAGCAAAGCUCUUCGGUGCCGUCGCAAACGCAGUAAGCAUUC